Molecule: ribosomal RNA, 220 nt
Filed under: uncultured bacterium
Lineage: Bacteria
Description: partial 16S ribosomal RNA
Rfam family: Bacterial small subunit ribosomal RNA
Source: RNAcentral
ACUCCUACGGGAGGCAGCAGUGGGAAUCUUAGACAAUGGGGAAAGCCCUCGAUCUAGCCAUGCCGCGUGAGUGAUGAAGGCCCUAGGGUCGUAAAGCUCUUUCGCCAGGGAUGAUAAUUACAGUACCUGGUAAAGAAACCCCGGCUAACUCCCGUGCCAGCAGCCGCGGUAAUACGGAGGGGUUAGCGUUGUUCGGAAUUACUGGGCGUAAAGCGCGCGU